AGUUUCUGCUUACCAGGCCCUCGGUGCAGCAAAAGUGCUGUAGAGGACAUUUUGACAGAGAACAGAACAGGCAAACUAAGAACUGCCUCAGGGUGACGACCCCUAAGUGUUGUGCGUACCUGCACACAGGUGGCAUGACAAGCUCUGUGGCUUGGUGAGAAAGAUUUGGCUCUCUCUGGCAAACUGGCUCUUCCCUUGUCCUGUUGCCUGGAACACAGCAGAUGGCUUGAUGUGAACAUGCAAGUGGAGAUCAUGAAGACAUGCAGGAAAGACUCAAGUUCAUGAGUCUUCAUCAGUGGGAAUUGCAGAAAUGUUUGAAAUUCGCUAUCUCUUGGGGGACCCCUUACUGGGCUAAUGUUCUGAGAUCAUCUGUGGCUGUGUGUUGAAGCAGCUGGAGCAUCUAUCUGGAACUGGCACUUCACUAUGACCUGGGUUUGGUUCUAAGCAUCUACAGAGUAGCUUGCAGUUUGCAUCCAUUCAUCCUCUAGCUCCAGGGCAUCUGACACCCUCUUCAGAAUGCCAAAGGAUGUCAAACACAUAUGUGAUGCACAAAAUGCAUGCAAACACUCAUACACAUGAACUAAAAUAAAGAUGAUGAUGGUGAUGAUGGUGAUGGUGAUGGUGAUGAGGAGGAGGAGAAAAAGAAGGAGGAGGAGGAAGAAGAGGGAGGAUGAGAAGAAGAAGGAGGAGGAGAACUGAU
This 700-nucleotide long non-coding RNA is filed under the name Mus pahari (shrew mouse). Its description in RNAcentral is "RIKEN cDNA G930045G22 gene (MGP_PahariEiJ_G0005016.1)". The record is from RNAcentral. Lineage: Eukaryota; Metazoa; Chordata; Mammalia; Rodentia; Muridae.